This 212-nucleotide unclassified non-coding RNA is filed under the name plant metagenome. Its description in RNAcentral is "partial contains small subunit ribosomal RNA, internal transcribed spacer 1, and 5.8S ribosomal RNA". The record is from RNAcentral.
AUUCCGUAGGUGAACCUGCGGAAGGAUCAUUAAAAAUGAAGCCGGGAAACCGGUCCUUCUAACCCUUGAUUAUCUUAAUUUGUUGCUUUGGUGGGCCGCGCAAGCACCGGCUUCGGCUGGAUCGUGCCCGCCAGAGGACACAACUCUGUAUCAAAUGUCGUCUGAGUACUAUAAAAUAGUUAAAACUUUCAACAACGGAUCUCUUGGUUCUG